CCUACGGGAGGCAGCAGUGGGGAAUAUUGGACAAUGGGGGCAACCCUGAUCCAGCCAUGCCGCGUAUGUGAAGAAGGCCCUCGGGUUGUAAAGCACUUUCAGUGAGGAAGAACGCCUGGUGGUUAAUACCCAUCAGGAAAGACAUCACUCACAGAAGAAGCACCGGCUAACUCCGUGCCAGCAGCCGCGGUAAUACGGAGGGUGCGAGCGUUAAUCGGAAUUACUGGGCGUAAAGCGCGCGUAGGUGGCUUGAUAAGCCGGUUGUGAAAGCCCCGGGCUCAACCUGGGAACGGCAUCCGGAACUGUCAAGCUAGAGUGCAGGAGAGGAAGGUAGAAUUCCCGGUGUAGCGGUGAAAUGCGUAGAGAUCGGGAGGAAUACCAGUGGCGAAGGCGGCCUUCUGGACUGACACUGACACUGAGGUGCGAAAGCGUGGGUAGCAAACAGGAUUAGAUACCCUAGUAGUC
This 465-nucleotide ribosomal RNA is filed under the name Vreelandella stevensii. RNAcentral's name for it is "partial 16S ribosomal RNA". It matches the Rfam family "Bacterial small subunit ribosomal RNA", at positions 338 to 795 of the family's 1533-position model. The record is from RNAcentral. Lineage: Bacteria; Pseudomonadati; Pseudomonadota; Gammaproteobacteria; Oceanospirillales; Halomonadaceae.